Molecule: ribosomal RNA, 493 nt
Filed under: uncultured bacterium
Lineage: Bacteria
Description: bacterial SSU rRNA
Rfam family: Bacterial small subunit ribosomal RNA
Source: RNAcentral
CUACGUGCCAGCAGCCGCGGUAAUACGGAGGAUGCGAGCGUUAUCCGGAAUCAUUGGGUUUAAAGGGUCCGUAGGCGGGCUAAUAAGUCAGAGGUGAAAGCGCUCAGCUCAACUGAGCAACUGCCUUUGAAACUGUUAGUCUUGAAUGGUUGUGAAGUAGUUGGAAUGUGUAGUGUAGCGGUGAAAUGCUUAGAUAUUACACAGAACACCGAUAGCGAAGGCAUAUUACUAACAAUUAAUUGACGCUGAUGGACGAAAGCGUGGGGAGCGAACAGGAUUAGAUACCCUGGUAGUCCACGCUGUAAACGAUGGAUACUAGCUGUUUGAGGUAUCGACCCCUCGAGUAAUAAAGCUAACGCGUUAAGCAUCCCGCCUGUGGAGUACGGCCGCAAGGCUAAAACAUAAAGGAAUUGACGGGGACCCGCACAAGCGGUGGAGGAUGUUCUUUAAUUCGAAGUUAAGCGAAGAACCUUACCAGGGCUUGACAUCCCUA